RNAcentral lists this transfer RNA (72 nucleotides) under Stegodyphus dumicola. Its description in RNAcentral is "tRNA-Ile". It matches the Rfam family "tRNA". Rfam says of the family: Transfer RNA (tRNA) molecules are approximately 80 nucleotides in length. Their secondary structure includes four short double-helical elements and three loops (D, anti-codon, and T loops). Lineage: Eukaryota; Metazoa; Arthropoda; Arachnida; Araneae; Eresidae. The record is from RNAcentral.
GCCUUCGUGGUGUAAAGGUAGCACGCUGGACCGAUAUUCCAGAGGUCCGUGGUUCGAUUCCCGGGGAAGGCG